Molecule: long non-coding RNA, 1512 nt
Organism: Raphanus sativus (radish)
Lineage: Eukaryota; Viridiplantae; Streptophyta; Magnoliopsida; Brassicales; Brassicaceae
Exons: 6
Source: RefSeq, a predicted model, not a curated record
UCACCAUGUUCUCUCUUCUCUUCCAUCGGCGCCGAGAGACUCUCCACCUUCACUAUCGAUCUAAACGGAGGGUGUUAUCGUGUCUGUUGUUUAUGGCAAUCAAUUCUAACACCCAUUAUGAAGCCUUCAAUGCGACGAUCUAGAGUGUGAGGCGGUCUUAGCUCUGUAUAAAUAUACCGGCAAGAGCUUUGGCGCCUAAACUAAACGUACCGUUGUCAUCAAAGGUUGUAUCCGUGUUCUUCUUCGCCUCUUCUUCGUCAAGCGAUCUUCCAUCUUCUUCAUCCCAAGCGAUGCCAGUUACGGAUUAAUAUCCCUACAACCCUCAUUUAAUUUUUAAUCCUCGAUCUACAUUCAGUGAGAAUUUUUUUUCCUCUAAAAGACGGUGGAGGUUCUACUACAAAAAAGAUUUUCAUCUUUCAUGAACCUUAAAAGAGAUCUCAAAAUGUCGGCAGCCAGCCAUGGCUAUCACUAAAGUCCAUAGAAUUAUGAUCCUGCUAAAUAAAGCUAAGAUCCAAAUUUGGCUAUUUAGACAGAAAGAUCUGGGCACUGAAGAAAUAUUAAUAUCUGAGCGAGAGUAUGAGAUUGGGUAAUUGAUGUCUCUUGGGUUUUGCAAGUGUUCAAGAAUUCCGGGUGUUUUCUUGGUACUUAUGGUCUCUUAUGUUGAUCUAGAGUACAAAAAAUACACAGUGGAUAUAGAUCGAUCAUCAAUUACUUGGAGAUGCAAUCCAUUAUCUCAACGACCGUUUGCAGAGGAUGAAUGAUCUUCACAACGAACUUCGGUCAACUCCACCUGGAUCUUUGCCUCCAGCUCCAACAAGUUUCCAUCCAUUAACACUUACACCUCAUACUCUUUCUUUCCGUGUGAAGGAAGAGCCAUGUCCCUCAUAUCGAGCCUUAAAGGACAACAAUCAAGAGUAAACAAAGCUUCAUGGGUAGUUUUUCGUUUCAUAGAGUAGUUUUCGUUUCAUGUGUUUUUGUUAUCUACAUGUUGAGGUUAGACUAAGGGAAGGAAGACCAGUCAACAUUUGCGUGAUUUGUUUGGCUUGGAUGUUGUUCACGUUGAGGUUACAUUCUCUUCAUCUUUUUAAUUGUGCUUCUCACCCUUUUUUAUUUUGUGAUUAAUGGGCUUUUGUGGUUUGAUUGCCCAGCUUUCGCUAUAAUGUUAAUUCAAUAGUUAAAAACAAUGUGAGAUCAGGUAAUCCAAAAUGUGUCAACACUUAACAGAACUAAGUAGACAAAAUGCGACAAGUAAAGUACUUGCCUUUGGAGAUUGAUAACCGAGCAUAGAUGCUGCACCACUGAACCCGACCCGAGACGUCAUACUCAAAAGGAACCGAUCAGAAGAGGAAUCUUGGUUAGUAGUUGUUUAAGUCAGUUUCUUGAAGAUAUCCAUGACGAAGAGCAUUGAGAUGAGAUUGUAAGUACCUACUAUAUCCAACGGGAGGCCAUGGAUUGCUCUUGGUGUCUUCAAGUGCUUAAGCUAUCUCCUUUCUGAUACCAAAUGUUAGUUUG